RNAcentral lists this ribosomal RNA (484 nucleotides) under uncultured bacterium. RNAcentral's name for it is "partial 16S ribosomal RNA". It matches the Rfam family "Bacterial small subunit ribosomal RNA", at positions 28 to 507 of the family's 1533-position model. The record is from RNAcentral.
AUUGAACGCUGGCGGCAUGCUUUACACAUGCAAGUCGAACGGCAGCGCGGGCUUCGGCCUGGCGGCGAGUGGCGAACGGGUGAGUAAUGCAUCGGAACGUGCCCAGCAGUGGGGGAUAGCCCGGCGAAAGCCGGAUUAAUACCGCAUACGACCUGAGGGUGAAAGCGGGGGACCGAAAGGCCUCGCGCUAUUGGAGCGGCCGAUGUCGGAUUAGCUAGUUGGUGGGGUAAAGGCUUACCAAGGCGACGAUCCGUAGCUGGCCUGAGAGGACGACCAGCCACACUGGGACUGAGCCACGGCCCAUACUCCUACGGGAGGCAGCAGUGGGGAAUUUUGGACAGUGGGGGCAAACCUGAUCCAGCCAUGCCGCGUGCGAGAAGAAGGCCUUCGGGUUGUAAACCGCUUUUGUUCGGGAAGAAAUCCUCUGGGCUAAUACCCCGGGGGGAUGACGGUACCGGAAGAAUAAGCACCGGCUAACUACGUG